UACGAAGGGGGCUAGCGUUGCUCGGAAUCACUGGGCGUAAAGCGCACGUAGGCGGAUUGCUAAGUCAGGGGUGAAAUCCUGGAGCUCAACUCCAGAACUGCCCUUGAUGCUGGCGGUCUCGAGUCCGGGAGAGGUGAGUGGAACUGCGAGUGUAGAGGUGAAAUUCGUAGAUAUUCGCAAGAACACCAGUGGCGAAGGCGGCUCACUGGCCCGGUACUGACGCUGAGGUGCGAAAGCGUGGGGAGCAAACAGG
Molecule: ribosomal RNA, 253 nt
Filed under: uncultured bacterium
Lineage: Bacteria
Description: partial 16S ribosomal RNA
Rfam family: Bacterial small subunit ribosomal RNA
Source: RNAcentral